AUGACACUGCAUCUGCAACUGUGAGGAAGAUAUUGUCCUCGCCGAUCAAGCUUGUAAAACUCGAGGCGUGAAGCUUGUCCAUUACCACUGGGCCUGGAUUUGCCAGGAUAAGCUGUGGAGCAACAACGUCGCCACUUUUCUGGUAAGCCAAUUUCAAUAACUAUGCAGUAGUAUGAUUCAUGAGCUUUUUUUUUUUUUUUUUUAAAUAGAAAUAGACAUGCUUGAAACAACCAGCGUUUUUAGUUUGUGACAUAGGAGGUGAUAUUGAUGUGCAAUGUGUUUAUGCAUUUACCUGAACCUCUCUCUUCUCGAGACUCCUGUGUAACCCUUCCAAGGCAUGGAUGCCACUGGUGUCGAUAUCGGUAACAGCUGAAUGGAAAUAAAAAAAGAAAAAAAAAAUCAUCACAAGAAAUUAAUUUAAAAGUAAAGCAGUGAUUGGAUAGCUGCAAUUUAAAAGUUACAUAUUAUUAUUAAUGGUCAUAUAUUAUUUACUGAUUGACUUUAUUUAAAUUUAUACAGACAUUACCUGAAUUAAGCGUUUUGAUGUUUAUUAUUUGGUAACUAUUUACACUGCAGAUUAGAUAUUAAGUUGAUUGCAUAUAAUCUUUAUAAGAUAGAAAAUUUAUAAGAUCUAUAUUAUUUUUAUCAAAAUUAUUAUUUAAAAAUCACAUUUACCAUAUACACUCUAUUUUUGUUCCAUAAAAAUAGUAGAAGUCAGAACGCUUUAAUAUCAAAUAGAGCCCUAAUUUAAUUGUCUAGCUUAUAAUUAAUAAUAAAAUACUUGUAGAAAAUUGCUUACGUGACAUCUCAACAAUUAAAAACUGUAUUCUUGGUUGAUAGGUAGCAGCUUUUACUUCUUCUUCUUCAUCUUCCAACCAUCUCAAUAUCCUGCCCCCACCCAAAGAACAGGGAAAAAAAAAAUGUCAAGUUUCAGCAUUAGGAAAACUCCAAGGAACUCUAGCCAAUUUAGCCGAUGUUCUAAAAUACAACAUCUUAUCAAAUAUCAGCCAUUAAUUAACACCGAUGCCAACUCUCUUCCCACUAGAUUUCAUCUAUAUCCAUCAUACCGUUUGUUUCGUAACCAAACCUAGAUUCAAGAUAGUCUUUCGUAUUAUUCUAUACAUUUGAAGCUCAACAAUUUUAGGCCGUACAUGCUAAUAUAUAUGUCUAGAAUUUUGCCUAGAUAUAGCCGUAAGUUUAUUUCAAGAAACUAGAGUUAAUCAUGCAACUCCAUUCUCAUGUUGAGGGAAAGGGUUCAAAUAUACCCGGGUAGGGAAUAUGGGGGUAUAUUUCUCCGAGAGUGGUAGUAGACCCAGUCCAUCUACACAUAAAAAAAUGGGGCUAUAACUAGACUAAGUUAACAGGCUGAGUCUCAAUAGACACUUCACUUGCAAUUCAAUGUCAGUAUUAGAAAAGAAAAAAGUAUUGAGGCAUCAAAUUUAUACCUCUCCUUAACGUAAUUAGAGUUUGAAAAGUAAAUUGCUGAAUCAACUCUCACGAUCAAAACACCUGGAACCUUGGUUGCUUCGGGAUAUUGUUGGAUGUUUCUGUACACAGUUGUCCUGGGAACCUUUCCCAGAAUUGCUGUCCGAGGUCUGGUAACUUGUAAGAGAAUCUUGGCAAAGGAUAUGGAGACCUGUCACAACACAAUGACAAUAUUAGGUUAGAUGAUAUAUCAUAUAGAGAUAGUUUAUAUUUAACAUAAAACAUAACUUGAUAUAGUUAAGUUCUCACCGCAAUUAAGAGGCCUAUUUCAACUGAGGAAAACACAACACCAAAGAAGGCUCCCAUGCAUGCAACAAAAUCAAAUUUAUCAAUCUUCCAUAAUAAAGUUGCUGCUCCAAUGUCGAUUAGGCCAAUCACAGCAUUUAUAAUUAUGGAAGCCAGAAUGGCAUUUGGGGUGUAUUUAAAAAGAGGGGUUAUGAAUUCUAAGGUUAGAAAUACAACGCAGGACAUAACAAUGUUAGAGACCGCUGUUUCGCAACCAGCCAUGAAAUUUACGGCUGAUCGAGAAAAUGAACCUGCAAAUAAUGAGUGAACAAAUCACUAAACUAUCCACAAUAAUGACGGUGCAAUUCAUUUGCAUAGUAAUUGGAAAGUAUCUAGGUUCAUGUGAUUUUAUUUAUUAUUCCUGCCCACCUGUGGCCACAUAGCAGGAAGUCAUUGAGCCUACAACGUUCAUUGCCCCUAGUGCUACCAUUUCUUUGUUACCGUCAAGUUGAUAGUCCUUCAUGGCAGCAAAUGUUCUUCCAAUUGCUAUGGCUUCCUGAUAAAUUCACAAAAAAUAACAACAACAACAACACAAUAAUAAAAAAAAUAAGUAAAAAAAAUUAGGUACAAUAACUGAUAAUGAAAUUCUGUUCAGAUGGAUUCUGACUUUGGCUUACCGUCAAUCCUAUCAUCCCAGCCACCACACCUAUUCUAAAACCCUUUAGAAGAUAAUCACCACUGAAGUAUAUUUCAUUCACAGAUGAGGGAUUGAUUCCUUUCUUUAUGUUUUUCACCUUCAUAAAUCAAUGAAACAGUUAGUGUUAUUGUUAAUACUAUACAAUAUGCUGAUAUCACAUCUCAUAUCUAAAACUUUUCAUCAUUUGCAAAUAACAUAAGUACUAUCAAAAUUUUUUGGUUAGAAAGAGUUACAAGGGAGACUCUUACAAUUUGAACACCUUGCUUAUCUGCACGCGUUAUAUAUACAAAAAAUGUUGACAGAAUGACCGAUAUUAAUGGAGCAAUUGCUGGCACCCAGAAGAAUUUCUUGUUCUUCUUUCCCUGUUUACCGAAUCAUGUGGGAGUUUUUAGAGACAGCUUGGAAGAAUAGAAUAGUGUCACUAACCAGAGAUGAAAAGUAUAGGCUCUUACAAUGAACUUCGCAAAGAGAAGGAAACUUAAAAAGCUUGCCCCAAUGGCUAUAGUCUGCCAGUUCCACUGCAAAACAUUGUUAAUUUAAGAUUUAGUCACUUGUUUUGGCCAGCUUAUUUUGAGCUAGGGGUUCUUGUUUAUGAAUGUUUCGUUUCCAAUUAAAAGAACAGUACAAGAAAACUUAAUUCUUAAAAGUAGUAAAAUAAAAUUAGAACUUACUCCGUGGUGGGCUGAAGCGACGACUGAGUGCAUUACAGAGAUAAUAUCGGAUUUUUUAGUGAACUUUUUUAUGCCCAGAAAACCCUUAAGCUGUUGGAGGGCAAUUGUAACUGCUGCUCCUCCCAUAAAACCAACUAUGGCAGCAUGGGAAAGGAAGUCAAUGAGGAAACCCAACCUAAUAAAUAACACAAACCGUCAAACCGCCCAUAAAGAUUCGAAAUCAUUUUAUAUAUAUGUCUUUUAAUUCAGUUUCUUCUGAAAUGAAGAGAAAUAAGUUCCUGAAUACCUGAAAAACCCAAGGGUGACUUGUGUAAUCCCGGCAAAGAAAGUAGCAGUGAAAGCAAGCCGCUGAUACUGGGCUUUUUCAUUUAUGGGAUCAAGCUCAUUCUGAAGCAUGGUUCCCAGCAAGAGAGAUACCACUGCAACUGGCCCUAUAGCUAUAUCUCUUGAACUACCCAUAAAGGCAUAAAUCAAUGGUGGAACAAAGCUGGAGUCUGCAAAAGUGAAAAACAAUAUCAAACACCUUAUCAUUAAAUAGAAGGAGGGGCAAAAAAAAAGGCUUUUUCAGGUAACAAAUUUUGAGAGGUGGUGCAACAACUUACACAGUCCAUACUGUGGAUCCAAGUUUGCAAGCUUUGCAUAUCCAAUAUCCUGUUUAUCCAACAAAAUAAUACUAUAAGAAUUGUUUCAAUGUGAAAAUGUGGAGAUUCAUCUAUGUCCCGUAUGUGGUAAACUUGCCUGAGGAAUACAGAGACUUGCAAUUGUCAGCCCAGCUAUGAGAUCUCCUCUUAAUUUUUUCAAAUUAUAUUUUCUCCCCCAUUCAAAAAUGGGAAAUAUUGUCUGGAUGCCUAAGAUGAACUUUUGAGACCUUGAUUGAUCCUUGAAGGGACGCAGAGGAUCAUCAGCGAAGAAUGUUUCUUUCAGAGUUUCUCGAAAUUCCUUGAAGAGGUUUUGCUUCGGGGGAACUCCCACCUUGUGAAUGUAUCGCUCGCUCUGCGAGUGACGGUGAGAAGAUGACAGGCUUCUGAUAUCCAUCUCUUUUGUUUGAGCCUCUUCAGUUGAGCGAUCCAUUGAAUGCGAGGACUAUAAAUUCACCUGCAACUGCAAUGCAGCAAAAAUCAGAAGUCACUAAAAUAAAGCUCUGACAGUAUUACAUGCAUAUCAAGCAAACAAUAGCUGCAUCCGGAGGAGAAGCAUCCUUUAUCAGAUUAUAUGUUUUCCGCUUACAUGCAUUAUUUUGCCAUCAACUCAGAUUAUAUUUUUUCCGCUUACAUGCUUUAUUUUGCCAUCAACUCAACUAACUUCUAAGGACCGAAAUUCAAAAACAGGACGUUUUUACUUAUGACUAUAACUGCUAAAGUAAUAUUUUGUGAUUAACUUUGUUAAGCAAGUUGUGAAAGGCGAGAAGAUUGAAGCUAACCACGACAAGUGAAUGAACCUAGAGGAAGCAAAAGGGUUAAAGCCUUGACGUGCAAAUCCUUUUUGAACAUGCAACGAGCUUCCAGACUUGCACUUAAAUAAAUUCUUAAAGAACUGGAGGUCAAACUUUGCAAGUUGAGAGAGAGAAUAACACUAGCAAUGAGCUAUGAAUGUGGAUCUAUUACUUGUCAUGUACAUGAUAGAAAUCAAAGUGGAAACUAAAUUUAAUAUUGCUAUGAACCGACGCUAGGAUUAUUC
RNAcentral lists this long non-coding RNA (4755 nucleotides) under Citrus maxima (pomelo). RNAcentral's name for it is "long non-coding RNA (CMAX_LNC001569)". Lineage: Eukaryota; Viridiplantae; Streptophyta; Magnoliopsida; Sapindales; Rutaceae. The record is from RNAcentral.